RNAcentral lists this ribosomal RNA (346 nucleotides) under uncultured bacterium. Its description in RNAcentral is "partial 16S ribosomal RNA". It matches the Rfam family "Bacterial small subunit ribosomal RNA", at positions 338 to 698 of the family's 1533-position model. The record is from RNAcentral.
CCUACGGGGAGCAGCAGUGGGGAAUAUUGGGCAAUGGAGGCAACUCUGACCCAGCAACGCCGCGUGAAUGAUGAAGGUCUUCGGAUGGUAAAGUUCUGUGAUGGGGGAGGAACACAAUGACGGUACCCCAAUAGCAAGCCACGGCUAACUACGGGCCAGCAGCCGCGGGAAUACUUAGGUGGCAAGCGUUAUCCGGAAUGACUGGGCGUAAAGGGUGCGUAGGUGGUUUAGUAAGUUGGCGGGGUAAUUCCGGGGCUCAACCUCGGCGCUACCGCCCAAACUAUUAGACUAGCGUGCAGGAGGGGUCAGUGGUAUUCCUCGUGUAGCGGUGGAAUGCUUAGCUCUU